This 492-nucleotide ribosomal RNA is filed under the name uncultured bacterium. Its description in RNAcentral is "partial 16S ribosomal RNA". It matches the Rfam family "Bacterial small subunit ribosomal RNA", at positions 29 to 507 of the family's 1533-position model. The record is from RNAcentral.
AGUGAACGCUGGCGGUAGGCCUAACACAUGCAAGUCGAACGGCAGCACAGUAAGAGCUUGCUCUUACGGGUGGCGAGUGGCGGACGGGUGAGGAAUACAUCGGAAUCUACUUUUUCGUGGGGGAUAACGUAGGGAAACUUACGCUAAUACCGCAUACGACCUACGGGUGAAAGCAGGGGAUCUUCGGCCCUUGCGCGAUUGAAUGAGCCGAUGUCGGAUUAGCUAGUUGGCGGGGUAAAGGCCCACCAAGGCGACGAUCCGUAGCUGGUCUGAGAGGAUGAUCAGCCACACUGGAACUGAGACACGGUCCAGACUCCUACGGGAGGCAGCAGUGGGGAAUAUUGGACAAUGGGCGCAAGCCUGAUCCAGCCAUACCGCGUGGGUGAAGAAGGCCUUCGGGUUGUAAAGCCCUUUUGUUGGGAAAGAAAAGCAGCAGGUUAAUACCCCGCUGUCCUGACGGUACCCAAAGAAUAAGCACCGGCUAACUUCGUG